UGAUUUGGAUAUUUCUACACCGUUAAACUUGCAAACGGCUCACUACGGCCAUUGAAAUUUGUUGAUUUUGAGCCCAUUCGAUCACUAGGCAAAUGAUAUCAAAAAAUAAUAAAAUUUAUUUUCUAAGUACUCCAAAUACUCUAGAUCAAGUUUAACGGAGCCGAUCGACGAUUCGAAAGUCACAACAUCGAAAACGAGCUGGAAGCACGGAAGGCUCCGUGCUUCCGAUAGCAUAGUAGCCUCACUCUAUAUAUAUAUCGUUAGAUCUACUCCUCGGAUUAUUUUCAACUAUUAGAUUAUACUAUUCAACCAACCACCCACUCAACCCUAGAAGACCCAUAUCAUCCUAAUCGCAUAUUUCUUAAUCUAAUGGCUAAAAAUCUAUAAGCACCAAUAACUUGAUACUUUUAAAAGCAUAGAAGCUCAAUUAUAUAUAUAUAUAUAUAUAUAUAUUCUCGCCACCCACUGUAUUCCUUUUCACUAUCGUACCUCUUCUCCCGCCCUCUACAGCAGCAGCCUAUCCCCGCCACAACACACUCUCUCUCUUCGCCAUCCUCAAAUUUUGUGACAUCCUCGUCGUUGUCGCAAUUCACGACCACAUCCUCCAUCACAGCUUCACCUCCGCAAUCUGUGCUAUAUCUGAGUUUGCGUCGCCACCGCUAGUGUUGGCGAAGGUAUGGGUUUGAUACGAGAGAGGAGUGCGGCGUCGAUGUUGUGGCAGUGGAGGAGGAGAAGGGAGAGGAAGCAUGAGGAAAAAAAGAGGCAAGGACAACGAGAAUAAAUGAGACAAAAAAAGAGCAGAAAAAUAAACGAGAGAUAAAUGGAGAGAAAGAAAAAUAAAAAUAAUUUAGUCUGUUUACUGAAAAUGCAGACUUAAUUUAUAAAAUUAGAAAAAAUAAUUUAUUUUUGAAAAAAUUCAAAACUAGUAAAAUUUUUGUGCAUAAAGGUCUAAAAUAUCUGACCAUCAAAGUUAUAAGAUUUAUCAUAAAUGAUUCCUUAAUCCUAUUUGAGAAGUGAAUGAAUUAUUUUANAUAUAUAUAUAUAUAUAUAUAUAUAGUCUGGCUACUAUACUCUUAUGAGUACAAUCAUUCUCGUAUUCAUAUUUUAUAAUUUUUCGAUAUCAUUACCUUACGAUCAAAAGGUCAAAAAAUUGACAAUUUUUAACGGCCGGUAUGGAAUAUUUGCUAGUUUAACGGUAUAAAAGAAUCGAAAUCAGUUGAAUUUUUGAUAAAAAAUUCUAUUCACUACAUAGAUAAAAGAUCAAUAACUCUGAUCUUAAAUUAAAGGAUCCGAUCAUUCAUUUUUAAGACGUCGUUCGAUUUUGACGAUUCAUUUUAUAUCCGUUUGAUGAAUUUUUUAAUAAUUUUGAAAAAUUACGAAAUUUAUUUUCUAGAAGUUUCAAAUACUCUAGAUCAUAUUUAACGGAAUGGAUCGUCGAUUCGGAAGCUCCAUCAUUGAAAACAACUUAUGAGUACGAAGAGCUCUAUACUCAUAAGACUAUAAUAGCCCAAGCAUAUAUAUAUAUAUACCGUUAGAUCUACUCCUCGGAUUAUUUUCAACUAUUAGAUUAUACUAUUCAACCAACCAUCCACUCAACCCUAGGAGACCCAUAUUAUCCUAACCGCAUAUUUUUUAAUCUAAUGGCUAAAAAUCUAUAAGCACCAAUAACUUGAUACUUUUAAAAGCAUAGAAGCUCAAUUAUAUAUAUAUAUAUUCUCGCCACCCACUGUAUUCCUUUUCACUAUCGUACCUCUUCUCCCGCCCUCUACAGCAACAGCCUAUCCUCACCACAACACACUCUCUCUCUUCGCCGUCCUCAAAUUUUGUGACAUCCUCGUCGUUGUCGCCAUUCACGACCACAUCCUCCAUCACAGCUUCACCUCCGCAAUCUAUGCUAUAUCUGAGUUUGCGUCGCCACCGCUAGUGUUGGCGAAGGUAUGGGUUUGAUACGAGAGAGGAGUGCGGCGUCGAUGUUGUGGCGGUGGAGGAGGAGAAGGGAGAGGAAGCAUGAGGAAAAAAAGAGGCAAGGACAACGAGAAUAAAUGAAACAAAAAGAGAGCAGAAAAAUAAACGAGAGAUAAAUGGAGAGAAAGAAAAAUAAAAAUAAUUUAGUAUGUUUACUGAAAAUGCAGACUUAAUUUAUAAAAUUAGAAAAAAUAAUUUAUUU
RNAcentral lists this long non-coding RNA (2167 nucleotides) under Ananas comosus (pineapple). Its description in RNAcentral is "long non-coding RNA (ACOM_LNC025050)". The record is from RNAcentral. Lineage: Eukaryota; Viridiplantae; Streptophyta; Magnoliopsida; Poales; Bromeliaceae.